This 504-nucleotide ribosomal RNA is filed under the name uncultured bacterium. RNAcentral describes it as "partial 16S ribosomal RNA". It matches the Rfam family "Bacterial small subunit ribosomal RNA", at positions 28 to 523 of the family's 1533-position model. The record is from RNAcentral.
GAUAAACGCUAGCGGCAGGCCUAACACAUGCAAGUCGCGGGGCAGCACAAGAGGUAGUAAUACUUCUGGUGGCGACCGGCACACGGGUGCGUAACGCGUAUGCAACCUACCCUUAACAGGGGGAUAGUCUGGAGAAAUUCGGCGUAAUACCCAAUAUCACUUUUAUUGGCAUCGAUAAUAGUUGAAAUUUGCGCAGGUUAGGGAUGGGCAUGCGUGACAUUAGCUAGUUGGUGAGGUAACGGCUCACCAAGGCAACGAUGUCUAGGGGGACUGAGAGGUCUUCCCCCCACACUAGUACUGAGACACGGACCAGACUCCUACGGGAGGCAGCAGUGAGGAAUAUUGGUCAAUGGACGGAAGUCUGAACCAGCCAUGCCGCGUGCAGGAUGACGGCUCUAUGAGUUGUAAACUGCUUUUGUACGAGGGUAAACUUGGAUACGUGUAUCCAACUGAAAGUAUCGUACGAAUAAGGAUCGGCUAACUCCGUGCCAGCCGCCGCGGUAA